GUCGCGCCAUUUGCGGGGGCGUGGGUAACCUUGCCGUCGAAAGCCCCUCGGCCCAGUCAAAUCGCCCGCACUCCGCAGCCCUCCCUCCCUCCUCGAUCUCUCUCCCUCAGCCGCCACAAACCCUAGGUCCCUUUCCUACGAUACCGUGGUCUUUGCCCCUGCUCCAUCCGACCUCCAUGGCGGACGAGGGCCCGAUCCGCGCCGACGCCGUGCCGGCGGCGGCCGGGGCGGGCGCGGAGAGGGCCGAUGCGGCGGCUGCGGGCGGGGUGGCGGCGGCCAAGGCCAGGGAGGACGAGGUUGGCCACGGGCGGGGCGGCGGCGGCCAAGGCUAGGAAGGACGAGGUCAGGGAGUACAAGAGUGACGUGAGGAAGCUGGAGGAGCUGUUCAAGAAGCUGAACCCCUCCGUGGAGGAGUUCGUGCCGCUCUUCCUUCGCCAGGGGGACAGCGCAUGCCGCCUGUCGGCCGACGCGCUCGUCUUUGCCUCGCCCGCGAUCGACUACUAUGCUCCUCCGUCCACCGACUCUGUCCGUGCAGGUCGCCAGUUUCCUUUCGCGCCAACCUUCUCCACUGUCUCCCCAGUUCAUCCUCCGUCCCUUGCUGCUCGAGAUUCUCAUCUGCUCAGGCUGCGAGGAAGACACGUGAGGAGGAGAGACCUCGUCUCGAGAAGCCCGGAGGAGGGGCUGAAACAGAGAGGAGCAGAUGCCAGCCAGGUAGUCGGCUCGGCUUGACACCGUCCUUCGUGUCUGGGCCGCGGCAGACCCUAGCACCAUCCUUAAGGUGUCUUCACGGCUGCAGGAGUGUAUGUGAGCCCCCCACCAUCUCUCACUCUCCCGUCAUCACCUGGUAUUGCACUUCUACCCCCUGGCUUGAACCUGAAACCUCCAUGUGCUCUGUAGGUGUAGAUUCAGACGUCACCAAAGCCCUUUUUGUGGGAUUUACAAAAUUCAUUCAGUAACAUUGUAAAUGGGUGUAAAUUCAGACGUUGCCAAAGCCAAGUUUGUCCUACUGAUUUCCUUGGUAUUCCAUAUAUUAUGUGCCCUGUAGGCCUUAUUGCUUUCCUAGCUUGGUAAGUUAGUAUGCAUGAAUUUUGUGGGUGUGUGUGCAUUUGGAUGCUGACUUAGAUGUCAUCCCAUCUUGCUUCCAUGUUUUUUCUUCACCAUGUUAUCUUUAGCCUUCCACGCCACUGAUUUGGUUGGUUUAUUUCCUUGAAUAGUUCUCCUUGUUUGCCACUGAUAAAUACAACGAUUAUGUGAUGUCUGUAUUUAUUGUUUUAGCUAAUGUGUCUCUUUUAUUAUUAUUAUCAUCCUCUAUGGUUAAUCACACAUUUCAUUGUUGUGCUUCGGAGUCUAUGGUGUACUACAUGCAACAUGAUACAAUCCACAAUGGUUAAUAAAAACUAAAUAUGAUAGCAAAUGAAAACUAUUGUGAUGCAUUGAACUAUGAUGGACACAUAAAAAAGGCGUACAAUAACUUCUAACUUUAUUCCACUGACGAGAUGUGUCAAUUCUUUUUGUGUUGAUUAGAACAAAGUUGAAGAGAUGAUUUGGAAUCUCUUGGAUAUGUACUCAUGUACUUCAUAAGGGGAAGCCUUCCUUGGUAAGGUCUGAAAGCAGGAACGAGGAAGCAAAAGUAUGCGAAGAUCAGUGAGAAAAAAUUGCAACAUCAAUUGAGGCUCUGUGUCAUGGGUAUCCUACUGAGUUCACAUCAUAUUUCCAUUAUGGUUAUUGUCGCUUGCUUCCGUUUGAUGACAAGCCUGAUUAUUCCUACCUUAAGCGACUGUUACGUGACCUCUUUAUCCAUGAAGGUUUUCAGUUUGACUAUGUAUUUGACUGGACAAUAUUGAAGUACCAGCAAUCUCAAAUUGCUGGUGCUCUGCCUCGUGUUGCAGACCUUUUGGGUUGACACCACCUGUAUUGCAGAAUGAUAGUCAAUCUGGUAAUUUGUUUAUUUUGAUCAGUCCUUACGAGUAUUACUAUUACUGUUUUCAGGCAAUAUUGAUGAGUAAUUGGCUUAUAAUAAAGUUGCCAGAAAGUUUCUUUGCUUCUAUGGCUAACUUGAACCAGAUGGUCACCGGUUGGUCCUCCUCUUCUCUCCUCGCGCCAUCGUCCUCCUCCUCAUCCAUCUCUCGAUUCAGCCAAGACAAUGGGGAUCAAGACUGUGUUAUGUUGAAAAAAGGAAAGAGACUACUCUUUUGUUACUUACAGUACAGAUAUAUGCUAUAACAUUACCGUUAUGCUCUCUUUGGAUUUCAUUUUAUGUCUACCAACAAGAAAGUCACUAAUAUCAAUGCCUACGAAUUAUUUUGUUCGCCAUUCUAAUCGUGACAGCAGAGAGCAAUGGAUAUAGAAGAAAUAUGUAAACAAUUGUCCCUUAGAAGAAAUAUGCAACAACUUAUUCAGUGGUACAGGUGUGAUCUUCAUGGAGCUAGCAAUCAUUGGAUUUGGUAAUACAUAAUCACUUAUUCAGAGAGCCCAAGGUGAGAAGGGACGAGCAUCUAGAACACCACCACCUACUAAUCAUUGAGCUACUAUCUGUCUUUGAAUGAGUUACUUAACAAGAGAAGGCAGGAGUUUCCUACCUUUCUUCUGCAAAUCUGGAAUGCCUUUAUGGCAUGAUCUCGUGAAAAAAGUACCUUUGAUGCAGUAAUGGAUUUGAUUAUCACUGGUUACUCUGUUUUCACGAAUUACUAUCCAACUGUAAGUCUGUUCUAUACCCUAAGGCCCAUGUAAAUCUGAUAGAAGAUUAAGCUAUUUAAUUUUAACUAAAAAGGAUAAUAUUCUUUCACUCGCUUGAAUCUGUCCAGACCUGAAAAAUACUUAUACUUUGAAAGCUUGAUAUAUGAGUAUGUAAUUUUACAGGUAUGUAAAUAGCCGACAAUGUUAUUGUUCAAAUGUACUCGAGCCAGGUUUCGGUGUUUCAUUGCAACCAAAAGAAUUGGUAAUACUGUUUUGAUGAAAACAUGGUCGCACUUGUCGGUGUUGUAUAAUAGGAUUUUUAAUUAGUGGCAUAGGAAAUUUUUCCCUAAGAUCCACUAUGAAGUUGAUUGAAAGUCCAUUUUCCUAAGAUCCACUAUGACAAUGAAAAAGAUUUCUGAAAACUAUGUCACCAUAAAUGUUCCAUCAUUGUCCAUAGCAGUCCCAUGCCAUAUUAAUUUCAGAAGAAUAAAUUCUUAUUCAGAUGUUCAUUGUGUUUUUAUGUACUGCUAUAUCUAAAAAAAGCAAGUUUCAGCUAAAACCAGAGCCGUGGUUAAGAUACUCUUCGCACCUAGGAUAUGUGUAUAUGUUCAGAUUGCUAACUUUAAACUAUAGUUUUAGAAAAUGUGGUGCCCUCGCUCAUUUUACUAAUGCAUGAACUUAGGGUAAAUGUUUUAUGUGUAAUGCGUGCUUGAUUUCUUUUUGAUUCUGGCGGAUUUUGAUUUUCUCCACCAUGCUUCUCUCCAACGGGAUGAGUCUGUUUUCGCUACAACGGGUGAUGCAUGUGCUUAUUGUUGGCUGUUGGUAUGUGGUAUGCAUUUUCUCAUUGUUGGAUGUUUGUUGUUUGCUAUGAUUAAGAUACAUUGGCAUGUACAUUUUAUAUCAGUUUUGUUUUCAACACCACCUAUCACUGUAUAAUUUGCCGUUAAUAGAGUAGUUUCUCCUUUAUUGCAUUGCAUAAUGCUAGCAAGCUACAUUGCACCAUAAACAAAUAUAAUCCUCUUCCAAGGUUAAACCUGUUUUUUUCCUUCUAGCAAAGAUCUUCUCUGGAAAAGAUCAAUUCCGUUAGCCUAUAAUAUUGCAGUUCUUUCGUAUCCUUCAAAGAUUUAUAAAUAUUUUCUGUUUCCACUCCAUUCGUUCUCAUGGAUUCUGAAAAAAAUAUUUUUGUUUUUUGUUGAUUAAUAAUAUUGCUUUCCGUUUCAGUUUUGUGGUGGUCGAUGCAUGUAGAAUAUACAGACUUUCCUAGAAUGGCGCCUUUUAGUUUUUCUGCUUGAUGUUAGUUCAUUGAUGAGAACACCUAUGUACAUGAUUGCUGCAUGCAUGAUUUCCUACUAUAUACUGAGAAAUAUUUUUGUUUUCCGGACAUUGUUUUCUAAAUCCUAUCAACAUAUUACCUGAUAUGGUUUUUGAAGUUUCUAUUUUAUAGCGAGCUUUGCACUGGUCAACUUGAGUAUGGUAUUGUUAUCUUUUCUUUUGUUUACAGGCGAUGUGUGGUAGAAGCUGUACUCAUAGGAAGACUAUUGUGUUGUGUAUAAACCAUGUUCUACGAUUCACUUCUGUUAUGCAUAUUUACUUUUCAGUUUUAGGACCGAAAUCCAUCCAUUGUAAUGAAUUUGGUUGUACGGGCAUUACCUAUUUGACUUAGGCUUGCUUCAUCACAUAUAGACUGCUUUUCUUUUCCCCACUGCUUGUAUGACCUAAAACUAUCAUGUAUAUGAGGCAAGUUAUAAGCAAUGUUUCACAUUUUCUUACUUGAAA
Long non-coding RNA from Triticum dicoccoides, 4452 nucleotides. RefSeq lists it as uncharacterized. The transcript has 7 exons. The record is from RefSeq and is a predicted model, not a curated record. Lineage: Eukaryota; Viridiplantae; Streptophyta; Magnoliopsida; Poales; Poaceae.